RNAcentral lists this ribosomal RNA (268 nucleotides) under uncultured bacterium. RNAcentral describes it as "partial 16S ribosomal RNA". It matches the Rfam family "Bacterial small subunit ribosomal RNA", at positions 524 to 796 of the family's 1533-position model. The record is from RNAcentral.
UACGAAGGGGGCUAGCGUUGUUCGGAAUAACUGGGCGUAAAGCGCACGUAGGCGGAAUGUUAAGUGAGGGGUGAAAUCCCGGGGCUCAACCCCGGAACUGCCUUUCAUACUGGCAAUCUAGAGAUCGAGAGAGGUGAGUGGAAUUCCGAGUGUAGAGGUGAAAUUCGUAGAUAUUCGGAAGAACACCAGUGGCGAAGGCGGCUCACUGGCGACUGACGCUGAGGUGCGAAAGCGUGGGGAGCAAACAGGAUUAGAUACCCCGUAGUCC